Molecule: long non-coding RNA, 200 nt
Filed under: Malus domestica (apple)
Lineage: Eukaryota; Viridiplantae; Streptophyta; Magnoliopsida; Rosales; Rosaceae
Description: long non-coding RNA (MDOM_LNC000533)
Source: RNAcentral
AAGCUUUUUAGGGGAAGCUUUGUGGGUGAAGCUUUGGAGGUGAAGCUUUUCGGGUGAAGCUUUUUUGGGUGAAGCUUUGUGGGUGAAGCUUUUUAGGUGAAGCUUUGUGGGUGAAGCUUUGGAGGUGAAGCUUUUCGGGUGAAGCUUUUUUGGAUUUUUUUUUUUUUUUUUUUUUUUUUUUUUUUUUUUUUUUUUUUUUU